This 98-nucleotide microRNA precursor is filed under the name Chlorocebus sabaeus (green monkey). RNAcentral's name for it is "miRNA (ENSCSAG00000020065.1)". The record is from RNAcentral. Lineage: Eukaryota; Metazoa; Chordata; Mammalia; Primates; Cercopithecidae.
AGGUGGGAGGAUCGCUUGAGCCAGGAAGAUGGAGGUUGCAGUGAGCCGAGAUCAAGCCACUGCACUCCAGCGUGGGCAACAGAGUGAGACCCUGUCUC